Molecule: ribosomal RNA, 973 nt
Filed under: Campylobacter jejuni
Lineage: Bacteria; Pseudomonadati; Campylobacterota; Epsilonproteobacteria; Campylobacterales; Campylobacteraceae
Description: bacterial SSU rRNA
Rfam family: Bacterial small subunit ribosomal RNA
Source: RNAcentral
GGCGUAAAGGGCGCGUAGGCGGAUUAUCAAGUCUCUUGUGAAAUCUAAUGGCUUAACCAUUAAACUGCUUGGGAAACUGAUAGUCUAGAGUGAGGGAGAGGCAGAUGGAAUUGGUGGUGUAGGGGUAAAAUCCGUAGAUAUCACCAAGAAUACCCAUUGCGAAGGCGAUCUGCUGGAACUCAACUGACGCUAAGGCGCGAAAGCGUGGGGAGCAAACAGGAUUAGAUACCCUGGUAGUCCACGCCCUAAACGAUGUACACUAGUUGUUGGGGUGCUAGUCAUCUCAGUAAUGCAGCUAACGCAUUAAGUGUACCGCCUGGGGAGUACGGUCGCAAGAUUAAAACUCAAAGGAAUAGACGGGGACCCGCACAAGCGGUGGAGCAUGUGGUUUAAUUCGAAGAUACGCGAAGAACCUUACCUGGGCUUGAUAUCCUAAGAACCUUUUAGAGAUAAGAGGGUGCUAGCUUGCUAGAACUUAGAGACAGGUGCUGCACGGCUGUCGUCAGCUCGUGUCGUGAGAUGUUGGGUUAAGUCCCGCAACGAGCGCAACCCACGUAUUUAGUUGCUAACGGUUCGGCCGAGCACUCUAAAUAGACUGCCUUCGUAAGGAGGAGGAAGGUGUGGACGACGUCAAGUCAUCAUGGCCCUUAUGCCCAGGGCGACACACGUGCUACAAUGGCAUAUACAAUGAGACGCAAUACCGCGAGGUGGAGUAAAUCUAUAAAAUAUGUCCCAGUUCGGAUUGUUCUCUGCAACUCGAGAGCAUGAAGCCGGAAUCGCUAGUAAUCGUAGAUCAGCCAUGCUACGGUGAAUACGUUCCCGGGUCUUGUACUCACCGCCCGUCACACCAUGGGAGUUGAUUUCACUCGAAGCCGGAAUACUAAACUAGUUACCGUCCACAGUGGAAUCAGCGACUGGGGUGAAGUCGUAACAAGGUAACCGUAGGAGAACCUGCGGUUGGAUCACCUCCUUU